RNAcentral lists this ribosomal RNA (496 nucleotides) under uncultured bacterium. RNAcentral describes it as "bacterial SSU rRNA". It matches the Rfam family "Bacterial small subunit ribosomal RNA", at positions 791 to 1288 of the family's 1533-position model. The record is from RNAcentral.
UAGUCCACGCAGUAAACGAUGAAUGUUAGUCGUUGGUGUCCUAGAGACAUCAGUGAUGCAGUUAACACAUUAAACAUUCCGCCUGGGGAGUACGGUCGCAAGAUUAAAACUCAAAGGAAUAGACGGGGACCCGCACAAGUGGUGGAGCAUGUGGUUUAAUUCGAAGAUACGCGAAGAACCUUACCUAGCCUUGACAUACUAAAGAAUUCGGCAGAGAUGCUGGAGUGCCUUCGGGAGCUUUAAUACAGGUGCUGCACGGCUGUCGUCAGCUCGUGUCGUGAGAUGUUGGGUUAAGUCCCGCAACGAGCGCAACCCUCGUCACUAGUUACUAACGAUUCGGUCGAGGACUCUAGUGAGACUGCCUUCGCAAGGAGGAGGAAGGUGAGGACGACGUCAAGUCAUCAUGGCCCUUACGGCUAGGGCAACACACGUGCUACAAUGGUUAGGACAAUGAGAAGCAAUAUCGCGAGGUGGAGCAAAUCUAUAAACCUAAUCU